This 1343-nucleotide ribosomal RNA is filed under the name uncultured bacterium. RNAcentral describes it as "16S ribosomal RNA". It matches the Rfam family "Bacterial small subunit ribosomal RNA", at positions 28 to 1378 of the family's 1533-position model. The record is from RNAcentral.
GACGAACGCUGGUGGCGUGCUUAACACAUGCAAGUCGAACGGAAAGGCCCUGCUUUUGUGGGGUGCUCGAGUGGCGAACGGGUGAGUAACACGUGAGUAACCUGCCCUUGACUUUGGGAUAACUUCAGGAAACUGGGGCUAAUACCGGAUAGGAGCUCCUGCUGCAUGGUGGGGGUUGGAAAGUUUCGGCGGUUGGGGAUGGACUCGCGGCUUAUCAGCUUGUUGGUGGGGUAGUGGCUUACCAAGGCUUUGACGGGUAGCCGGCCUGAGAGGGUGACCGGCCACAUUGGGACUGAGAUACGGCCCAGACUCCUACGGGAGGCAGCAGUGGGGAAUAUUGCACAAUGGGCGGAAGCCUGAUGCAGCAACGCCGCGUGCGGGAUGACGGCCUUCGGGUUGUAAACCGCUUUCGCCUGUGACGAAGCGUGAGUGACGGUAAUGGGUAAAGAAGCACCGGCUAACUACGUGCCAGCAGCCGCGGUGAUACGUAGGGUGCGAGCGUUGUCCGGAUUUAUUGGGCGUAAAGGGCUCGUAGGUGGUUGAUCGCGUCGGAAGUGUAAUCUUGGGGCUUAACCCUGAGCGUGCUUUCGAUACGGGUUGACUUGAGGAAGGUAGGGGAGAAUGGAAUUCCUGGUGGAGCGGUGGAAUGCGCAGAUAUCAGGAGGAACACCAGUGGCGAAGGCGGUUCUCUGGGCCUUUCCUGACGCUGAGGAGCGAAAGCGUGGGGAGCGAACAGGCUUAGAUACCCUGGUAGUCCACGCUGUAAACGGUGGGUACUAGGCGUGGGGUCCAUUCCACGGGUUCCGUGCCGUAGCUAACGCUUUAAGUACCCCGCCUGGGGAGUACGGCCGCAAGGCUAAAACUCAAAGGAAUUGACGGGGCCCCGCACAAGCGGCGGAGCAUGCGGAUUAAUUCGAUGCAACGCGUAGAACCUUACCUGGGUUUGACAUGGAUCGGGAGUGCUCAGAGAUGGGUGUGCCUCUUUUGGGGUCGGUUCACAGGUGGUGCAUGGCUGUCGUCAGCUCGUGUCGUGAGAUGUUGGGUUAAGUCCCGCAACGAGCGCAACCCUUGUUCACUGUUGCCAGCACGUUAUGGUGGGGACUCAGUGGAGACCGCCGGGGUCAACUCGGAGGAAGGUGGGGAUGACGUCAAGUCAUCAUGCCCCUUAUGUCCAGGGCUUCACGCAUGCUACAAUGGCUGGUACAGAGAGUGGCGAGCCUGUGAGGGUGAGCGAAUCUCGGAAAGCCGGUCUCAGUUCGGAUUGGGGUCUGCAACUCGACCUCAUGAAGUCGGAGUCGCUAGUAAUCGCAGAUCAGCAACGCUGCGGUGAAUACGUUCCCGGG